This 2530-nucleotide long non-coding RNA is filed under the name Vitis vinifera (wine grape). RNAcentral describes it as "long non-coding RNA (VVIN_LNC000309)". The record is from RNAcentral. Lineage: Eukaryota; Viridiplantae; Streptophyta; Magnoliopsida; Vitales; Vitaceae.
CCAUAAGCGCCUUUUCAUCGUCGUUUCCUCCAGAGGCUACCACUGACAUCAUAUGAAUGCAAUAGGAAAAAAAUAUAGAUUUAAUUUAUAAUUUCAUUAACAAUGCACAAGCAGAAGCAAACAAUCAAACGAUAAAUCCAAAAGAGAAGUCAUUUCAGCACCUCUAACCCCCAAAAAUGAAAAAAUUCAUAUUCAUGGAUUAUUCGUCAAUAUAUUGAUAUACAAAUAAUUCAACUACUCAAUCCACAGCAUCAGGAGGCACCUAUGCUACACAGAUCCAGGAAUAAGUGGCAGGUGCAGGCAUGUGCCCAAGUGUUGGAUUGGUUGAAACACCCAAUCUUUGGAUAAAAGGAUAUGGAAAAGUUGUUAACGUGGCCAAAAACUAGAUAAAGAUAUUUCCAUUGAAAAAUAUUCUAAAUAAAGGAUUGAUUUGCAAUAAAACAAUUAAUUACUUUAUCUAAAAUAUAGAAGCUAAAGGACCUAUUUCCAAAAUCCCUUGUUAUAAGAUAACAUUUUAAAGGAAACUCCUUCAGCGUAUGUGAAAAAACAAGAUUCAACGGCUAUGACCUCCCGGCAUUCCUUCAAGGAUUUGUUCCACUUCCAAGCAGCCCUGUGAAACCUUCCUGCUGAGUUAAAAAUUUUGCAAAGAUAUGCAUUUGUUUUUUAUCCACUCUUCUUUCCCUUUUUGUUAUAUUUUUCCUCUAUUUAUCUUCUUCUCAAUCUCCCUCCAUAGAGUUCACCAUCAUAGAACUCAAAAGUUACUGAAUUACACUUACUUGUUGGACACUAUACUUCAACUCCACCCUUCCAAAAAGGAACACUUUCUCCAACCAACUAUUCUGUAUAGCCAAGUCCAUAGCUAUAUCUCCACGUGUACUCAUGUCAUGUUCAACUAGGUACUAACAGGUGAAGUGCCAAAUCCAAGUAUCCAAUGAUGGUUUAAUCCAUGAUCUCAACCAGGGUGUUAAAGAAAAUGGGAACCAAUGCCAAAAUUAAUGGUAAAGAAAAAGGUUUUAUGAUUUCAUAAAACGUGUCAAUCUCAAAUCUUCAACAUCAUUUCCGAUAUGAUGAUUGUCAUUUACUGCAAUACCAGAUUGAGCAAAAUGUGCAAUUUGAUUUCCAAUAGAACAUCCAAAACAUGCUGAGUAAGCAGACUAAUCAAUUUAAUUGGACAAUAUGAAUGAAAAGAAAGCCAACUCCCACUUGAAUUACCCAAUCAACUGGCCAUGAGAAUUGUAUUCACGUUUUUUGACACGAGAAGUGACACAGAAAAUGGCGCUAUCUACACAUGCAUUCACACCCCCACAAGUAAGGAACUUAGCAGAUCACUUUUCUUGAAUGGUUUUGGAGGAACUGAUAAAGUAAAAGACUAAACUAAACACCAAAUCCCAGCUCCUGGCACUGAGGUAGAAAGAAAAUAUCAAGUUAUUGCAUACCAUAAGUUUAUAAGUAAUUUUUAAUUGGAACUCCAUAUAUCUCUCUGAACAAUACAUGAAACUCCUUAAUUUUCCAAAAUAUUUCAUGACAUGCCAUUGUGUUUAGCAGAACAGUAAUUUGGAGAAGCAGUUUAGAAAACUUAUCACACUCCUAAUUUAGUAAUCCAACGAUAUUCAAUAGUAAUUUACAUUAAUUAGUAAAUUCCCAUAAUAGCCAUCAACACAAUUCAAAUUCUCUUGCGCGCGAAAACAUCUCAGGACAUGCAUCUAUAAAUUCUCAUGAGCGCGAAAAUAUCUAUAGUAGAAUGCUCUGCAAACAGAAAUAGUUCAUAUCCACUCAUUAAUCUUCACCAAAAUACCAGGGCAUCACUUCCCACAAAGUAGCAAGGCAUUCUUGCCAAAUCAAUCCAAAGAAAAUUUGCCAUUGCAUCCCAAAUAAACUAUCUUCAGCAAAACAUCAAAAGUUUUAUCAAAAGUGACACCAUAGAUAAAAAAUAAAUGAAAAGCAUGAAGCAGAUGCAGAUUUAUUUUCAAUAAAUCUAAAGAAAAUAACAUAAUUCUUAAAAAUUAACUUAAUACUCGGUUUCCGAGAAAACGAAGGAAAAUAAACUAAAAACUUGAAGUCUUCUACAAGAUGGUAAAAUCCCAUGCUUUCUUCGCUUCCUCUCCUAAUUUCCAGAGCUAUACACUAAAAUCCAACAACCAAAAUAAAAUCGCGGCGUACACUAGCCAACACAAUCUCAUACUCCAAAACCAUACCAGAAAGCAGCCUGAUCUGAAGCCUCAAUGGAAAUUAAACAUUAAAUGCAAGAAACAAACAUCCACAGAUGCUCAAAAAACCCCAGAAUUCAAACCGAAAACAACAAUUCUAAUACAUAACAAUCAAAUCCAUCGAAACACCAAAUCGCACCAAAACAACCAGAGUUGCACAAGACUCUGAAGUUACCUGUAGCGGUCCAAAACUGAUCGGAGGGCUUGGUAGAGAUGAGAUCGUCGGGCAGAUCGAGCUUGCUUUCGGCCAUCGGGAGUGGCGAAGCAGCGAGAGAAGAUCGAAAGAGAGAGGGAAGGAGCGAAGAAGAGUAGUGGUUGGAGGG